AUGAGCUUCGCGGUGAGCAAGUGCCCGCCGUUGAUGGUCCGACCGUCCAUGGAGCAGACGACGGGGAAGACCCAAGUGGUGCAGCUCUCCUCUUGGGACAGGAGCUACGUGGGCUUCCAGGUCGCGACGCUCCUCAUCUUCGACGGCCCUUUCCACCAGCCCGUGGAGGCCAUCAAGAAGGGCCUCUCCCGGACGCUCGUCCACUACCAGACAGUCGCGGGCCGCCUUGCAGCGGCCGAUGACGACGACGACGACAGCGUUCUCCACGUCGAGUGCACAGGCGAGGGUGUGCCCUUCGUGGCCGCGUCGGCGGGUUGUGCCCUGCAGGACCACGGCCUCCUCGACGCGCCCGUCUCCACGAGCCUCCUUGACGGGCUCGCCUUGUCCUACCCGGCGGGGGCGGAGGGCUGCCGGCUAACCGACCCGCUGCUGCUCAUGCAGGUCACCGAGUUCACCUGCGGCGGGUUCACCGUCGGGGUCACGUGGAACCAUACCCUAGCUGAUGGCGACGGCAUGGCGCAGUUCCUGCAGGCCGUCGGUGAGCUCGCCCGCGCUGAAGCCGAUGAUGUCUUGGUGCCGUCCGUUGCACCGUUGAGGGACGGCCGCGCGGUGUCCCUGCCGCUGCUCUCGCCGCCGGUGGUCGCCGCAAAGCAGUGGCUAAUGCUGGACCGCGGCGGCAUGGGCCUCGUCUACCUAGACAUCACCGUCCCGGUCAAGCUCAUCAACCGCAUCAAGUUCGAGUACAAGGCCGCCCACGCCGAUGACGGCGGGUACUGCACGACGUUUGAGGCGGCGGUGGCCGUGCUCUGGCGGUGCCGCACCCGCGCCAUCAUCGGCGACGACCCGGACUACGACAUGUCCACGCCGGCGCCGCUGGCCUUCUUCGUGAACGUGCGCAAGCACGUUGGCGCGGCGGCAGGGUACUACGGAAACUGCGCGGUGGCGCAGCUGGCCUUGGCGACGACCUGGGAGGUGGCCGGCGCCGGGGAUGGCGGCAUGAACGAUGUGGUGGAUCUGAUCAAGCGCGCCAAGGACCGGGUCACGGAGCUGCUGCGGAACAUGGGGGGCGGCGGCGGUGCCGUGCCGGAGAUGGGAGAGGAGGAGAUGGCUGCGGCCUUCGGGUACAACGCGCUGAUGGUGACCAGCUGGCGGAACAUUGGCUUCGACCGCGCAGACUUCGGCGGCGGCGCGCCGGCGAGGGUGGUGGGGCGGUGGCAGCAGUCGACGGUGCCGGGCUGCAUGGCGUUCCUCUCCUGCAGGGCCACGGCGGCCGACGGCGAGCGGCUGCUGACGCAGUGCGUCACGGAGGAGCACGCCGCGGCGUUGCUCGCGGAGCUGGACCAGCUCGCCUCAGCCCUCAGUAUGCAACUGAUGAACUGA
Molecule: ribosomal RNA, 1380 nt
Filed under: Triticum aestivum (bread wheat)
Lineage: Eukaryota; Viridiplantae; Streptophyta; Magnoliopsida; Poales; Poaceae
Description: partial small subunit ribosomal RNA
Source: RNAcentral